Molecule: ribosomal RNA, 263 nt
Filed under: uncultured bacterium
Lineage: Bacteria
Description: partial 16S ribosomal RNA
Rfam family: Bacterial small subunit ribosomal RNA
Source: RNAcentral
CCUACGGGAGGCAGCAGUGAGGAAUAUUGGUCAAUGGUCGGGAGACUGAACCAGCCAAGCCGCGUGAGGGAUGAAGGUACAGAGUAUCGUAAACCUCUUUUGUCAGGGAACAAAGGCGGGGACUAGUCCCCGGCUGAGGGUACCUGAAGAAAAAGCAUCGGCUAACUCCGUGCCAGCAGCCGCGGUAAUACGGAGGAUGCGAGCGUUCUCCGGCUUUAUUGGGUUUAAAGGGUGCGCAGGCGGCCUGUUAAUUCAGCGUUAAA